RNAcentral lists this transfer RNA (83 nucleotides) under Schistocephalus solidus. It matches the Rfam family "tRNA". From Rfam's summary of the family: Transfer RNA (tRNA) molecules are approximately 80 nucleotides in length. Their secondary structure includes four short double-helical elements and three loops (D, anti-codon, and T loops). Further hydrogen bonds mediate the characteristic L-shaped molecular structure. tRNAs have two regions of fundamental functional importance: the anti-codon, which is responsible for specific mRNA codon recognition, and the 3' end, to which the tRNAs corresponding amino acid is attached (by aminoacyl-tRNA synthetases). tRNAs cope with the degeneracy of the genetic code in two manners: having more than one tRNA (with a specific anti-codon) for a particular amino acid; and 'wobble' base-pairing, i.e. permitting non-standard base-pairing at the 3rd anti-codon position. Lineage: Eukaryota; Metazoa; Platyhelminthes; Cestoda; Diphyllobothriidea; Diphyllobothriidae. The record is from Rfam by way of RNAcentral.
GGCCUCGUAGCUCAGCUGGCUAGAGCUUUGGCUGUACAAAAGCCUUCCUUGUAAUUUUAUGGGUUCAAAUCCCACUGGGGCUG